AGUGAACGCUGGCGGUAGGCCUAACACAUGCAAGUCGAACGGCAGCACAGUAAGAGCUUGCUCUUACGGGUGGCGAGUGGCGGACGGGUGAGGAAUACAUCGGAAUCUACUUUUUCGUGGGGGAUAACGUAGGGAAACUUACGCUAAUACCGCAUACGACCUACGGGUGAAAGCAGGGGAUCUUCGGACCUUGCGCGAUUGAAUGAGCCGCUGUCGGAUUAGCUAGUUGGCGGGGUAAAGGCCCACCAAGGCGACGAUCCGUAGCUGGUCGGAGAGGAUGAUCAGCCACACUGGAACUGAGACACGGUCCAGACUCCUACGGGAGGCAGCAGUGGGGAAUAUGGGACAAUGGGCGCAAGCCUGAUCCAGCCAUACCGCGUGGGUGAAGAAGGCCUUCGGGUUGUAAAGCCCUUUUGUUGGGAAAGAAAAGCAGCAGGUUAAUACCCCGCUGUUCUGACGGUACCCAAAGAAUAAGCACCGGCUAACUUCGUG
Molecule: ribosomal RNA, 492 nt
Filed under: uncultured bacterium
Lineage: Bacteria
Description: partial 16S ribosomal RNA
Rfam family: Bacterial small subunit ribosomal RNA
Source: RNAcentral